GAAUAUGGUGAAGUGGUUAACACAGCGGAUUGUGGCUCCGUCAUGCAAGGGUUCGAAUCCCUUUAUUC
RNAcentral lists this transfer RNA (68 nucleotides) under bovine gut metagenome. It matches the Rfam family "tRNA". From Rfam's summary of the family: Transfer RNA (tRNA) molecules are approximately 80 nucleotides in length. The record is from RNAcentral.